This 429-nucleotide ribosomal RNA is filed under the name Gemmatimonadota bacterium. RNAcentral's name for it is "Gemmatimonadetes bacterium partial 16S ribosomal RNA". It matches the Rfam family "Bacterial small subunit ribosomal RNA", at positions 355 to 776 of the family's 1533-position model. The record is from RNAcentral. Lineage: Bacteria; Pseudomonadati; Gemmatimonadota.
UAGGGAAUCUUCGGCAAUGGACGAAAGUCUGACCGAGCAACGCCGCGAGAGUGAAGAAGGUUUUCGGAUCGUAAAACUCUGUUGUUAGAGAAGAACAAGGACGUUAGUAACUGAACGUCCCCUGACGGUAUCUAACCAGAAAGCCACGGCUAACUACGUGCCAGCAGCCGCGGUAAUACGUAGGUGGCAAGCGUUGUCCGGAUUUAUUGGGCGUAAAGCGAGCGCAGGCGGUUUCUUAAGUCUGAUGUGAAAGCCCCCGGCUCAACCGGGGAGGGUCAUUUGAAACUGGGAGACUUGAGUGCAGACGAGGAGAGUGGAAUUCCAUGUGUAGCGGUGAAAUGCAUAGAUAUAUGGAGGAACACCAGUUGCGAAGGCGGCUCUCUGGUCUGUAACUGACGCUGAGGCUCGAAAGCGUGGGGAGCAAACAGG